This 181-nucleotide unclassified non-coding RNA is filed under the name uncultured Monacrosporium. RNAcentral's name for it is "sequence contains ITS1". Lineage: Eukaryota; Fungi; Ascomycota; Orbiliomycetes; Orbiliales; Orbiliaceae. The record is from RNAcentral.
UCGUACUCAUAGUCUUUUAUGAUUAAACCUUUUGUGAACCAAAAAACCUUUACGCUUCGGCAGCAGGCUUGCGGGUUGGGCUGUAACAGGCCCGCCCCCAAACCGUCAGCCUGCCGGCAGCACUUUAUACAAAACCUGUUUAAAAACAUGUCUGAACAGAAUCAUUUUCGAAUGAAAAUUA